AACGAACGCUGGCGGCAGGCCUAACACAUGCAAGUCGAACGCCGUAGCAAUACGGAGUGGCAGACGGGUGAGUAACACGUGGGAACGUACCCUUCGGUUCGGGAUAAGCCAGGGAAACUUGGUCUAAUACCGGAUACGUCCGCAAGGAGAAAGAUUCAUUGCCGAAGGAUCGGCCCGCGUCCGAUUAGCUAGUUGGUGAGGUAAUGGCUCACCAAGGCGACGAUCGGUAGCUGGUCUGAGAGGAUGAUCAGCCACACUGGGACUGAGACACGGCCCAGACUCCUACGGGAGGCAGCAGUGGGGAAUAUUGGACAAUGGGCGCAAGCCUGAUCCAGCCAUGCCGCGUGAGUGAUGAAGGCCCUAGGGUUGUAAAGCUCUUUCGCCAGGGACGAUAAUGACGGUACCUGGAGAAGAGCCCCGGCUAACUUCGUGCCAGCCGCCGCUGUAAC
This 449-nucleotide ribosomal RNA is filed under the name uncultured bacterium. RNAcentral's name for it is "bacterial SSU rRNA". It matches the Rfam family "Bacterial small subunit ribosomal RNA", at positions 29 to 524 of the family's 1533-position model. The record is from RNAcentral.